UGGGGAAUAUUGCACAAUGGGGGAAACCCUGAUGCAGCCAUGCCGCGUGUGUGAAGAAGGCCUUCGGGUUGUAAAGCACUUUCAGCGAGGAGGAAAGGUCAGUAGCUAAUAUCUGCUGACUGUGACGUUACUCGCAGAAGAAGCACCGGCUAACUCCGUGCCAGCAGCCGCGGUAAUACGGAGGGUGCAAGCGUUAAUCGGAAUUACUGGGCGUAAAGCGCACGCAGGCGGUUGGAUAAGUUAGAUGUGAAAGCCCCGGGCUCAACCUGGGAAUUGCAUUUAAAACUGUCCAGCUAGAGUCUUGUAGAGGGGGGUAGAAUUCCAGGUGUAGCGGUGAAAUGCGUAGAGAUCUGGAGGAAUACCGGUGGCGAAGGCGGCCCCCUGGACAAAGACUGACGCUCAGGUGCGAAAGCGUGGGGAGCAAACAG
This 428-nucleotide ribosomal RNA is filed under the name uncultured bacterium. RNAcentral's name for it is "bacterial SSU rRNA". It matches the Rfam family "Bacterial small subunit ribosomal RNA", at positions 355 to 775 of the family's 1533-position model. The record is from RNAcentral.